AGCAAUACACGAGUGGCAGACGGGUGAGUAACACGUGGGAACGUACCCUUCGGUUCGGAAUAACUCAGGGAAACUUGAGCUAAUACCGGAUACGCCCUUACGGGGAAAGAUUUAUCGCCGAUGGAUCGGCCCGCGUCUGAUUAGCUAGUUGGUGAGGUAACGGCUCACCAAGGCGACGAUCAGUAGCUGGUCUGAGAGGAUGAUCAGCCACACUGGGACUGAGACACGGCCCAGACUCCUACGGGAGGCAGCAGUGGGGAAUAUUGGACAAUGGGGGAAACCCUGAUCCAGCCAUGCCGCGUGAGUGAUGAAGGCCCUAGGG
RNAcentral lists this ribosomal RNA (322 nucleotides) under uncultured bacterium. RNAcentral describes it as "bacterial SSU rRNA". It matches the Rfam family "Bacterial small subunit ribosomal RNA", at positions 83 to 422 of the family's 1533-position model. The record is from RNAcentral.